This 307-nucleotide unclassified non-coding RNA is filed under the name Hevea brasiliensis (rubber tree). The record is from RNAcentral. Lineage: Eukaryota; Viridiplantae; Streptophyta; Magnoliopsida; Malpighiales; Euphorbiaceae.
UCAGCUAGUAAGGUUUCUGGUCCAGUUGCUAUUAUUGCUGUUGGGGCAGAAGUUGCAAGGUCAAACAUUGAUGGACUUUACCAAUUUGCCGCUGUACUCAAUAUUAACCUUGCAUUGAUAAAUCUUUUGCCUUUGCCUGCUUUAGAUGGAGGCUCUUUAGCAUUGAUUCUUAUAGAGGCAGCCAGGGGUGGGAGAAAGCUUCCUUUAGAAAUAGAGCAGCGAAUUAUGUCAUCAGGGAUCAUGCUUGUUAUAUUGCUUGGGUUGUUCCUUAUCGUUCGGGAUACGCUAAACCUUGACUUCAUUAAAG